RNAcentral lists this ribosomal RNA (435 nucleotides) under uncultured bacterium. RNAcentral's name for it is "partial 16S ribosomal RNA". It matches the Rfam family "Bacterial small subunit ribosomal RNA", at positions 29 to 507 of the family's 1533-position model. The record is from RNAcentral.
AGCGAACGCUGGCGGCAGGCUUAACACAUGCAAGUCGAACGGGCAUAGCAAUAUGUCAGUGGCAGACGGGUGAGUAACGCGUGGGAACGUACCUUUUGGUUCGGAACAACACAGGGAAACUUGUGCUAAUACCGGAUAAGCCCUUACGGGGAAAGAUUUAUCGCCGAAAGAUCGGCCCGCGUCUGAUUAGCUAGUUGGUAGGGUAAUGGCCUACCAAGGCGACGAUCAGUAGCUGGUCUGAGAGGAUGAUCAGCCACAUUGGGACUGAGACACGGCCCAAACUCCUACGGGAGGCAGCAGUGGGGAAUAUUGGGCAAUGGGCGAAAGCCUGAUCCAGCCAUGCCGCGUGAGUGAUGAAGGCACUAGGGUUGUAAAGCUCUUUUGUGCGGGAAGAUAAUGACGGUACCGCAAGAAUAAGCCCCGGCUAACUUCGUG